ACCAGAUUAGGGAUCCCACGAUAGAGUACAAGAUUCCUAAUCUUGAGGUCGUUGGUUCGAGCCCAACAUGGGGUA
RNAcentral lists this transfer RNA (75 nucleotides) under Nitrospinota bacterium. Its description in RNAcentral is "tRNA-Ser". Lineage: Bacteria; Pseudomonadati; Nitrospinota. The record is from RNAcentral.